RNAcentral lists this long non-coding RNA (193 nucleotides) under Dromaius novaehollandiae (emu). RNAcentral describes it as "lncRNA (ENSDNVG00000006973.1)". Lineage: Eukaryota; Metazoa; Chordata; Aves; Casuariiformes; Dromaiidae. The record is from RNAcentral.
UGACAGAUAAGGCUUUCCAUAGUCCCAGGGAUGAAUUUAUAUCCUCGUUCUGUGUAAAGAAAAUUUUGUUCCCUGGAUUACUCAUAAGAGGAGUAUGGGAUAGCGUCGCUUGGCGUUCUGAGCUGUGGGCAGUCUCAAACUGAAGACAGACAGUGUAAUCUCAGCUGCCCUGAGAUAAAUGACGAAGCCACUC